Ictidomys tridecemlineatus (thirteen-lined ground squirrel) is the source of this 106-nucleotide non-coding RNA. The record is from Rfam. NCBI's taxonomy places the organism in Eukaryota, Metazoa, Chordata, Mammalia, Rodentia, Sciuridae.
AUCCUUUUGGGUUCAUAAGCAUGAUGAUUGGGUGUUCAUACUGUAUGUUUUGAGAUUUGCCUCCCUCCAAAUCUUGUUAAGAUGUCAGCACCUUACCUGUCUGAAG